Long non-coding RNA from Brassica napus (rape), 340 nucleotides. RefSeq lists it as uncharacterized. The transcript has 3 exons. Lineage: Eukaryota; Viridiplantae; Streptophyta; Magnoliopsida; Brassicales; Brassicaceae. The record is from RefSeq and is a predicted model, not a curated record.
AGUGCACGGCUACGAUUGAUGAUGUUGUUCAUGGCUCUACUUGGUACUACAUUGCAUGCAGUGAGUGCCAUUCUAAGGCUACCAAUGGCCCAAGUUCGUUGAUUUGUACAAACACAAAAUGUGGGAAGGUUAACAGCUGGCGUUCCACAGUACCGUGCAAAAAAUUUCUGUUUAUGACAACAGUGAACAAGUUUUCUUUGUCCUACUUGGAGAUGCUGAUCGGGAGUUGACUGGGAGGCAUGCAUCCGAGUUAGUUAGCAGCUACUUUGAGGCUAAUAAAAGCGAAGGAGCUGACCAUGAGGUGCAUGUCCCGGAAGCUCUAAUCAGCACCAUCGGACGA